RNAcentral lists this ribosomal RNA (771 nucleotides) under uncultured Aeromonas sp. RNAcentral describes it as "partial 16S ribosomal RNA". It matches the Rfam family "Bacterial small subunit ribosomal RNA", at positions 640 to 1410 of the family's 1533-position model. Lineage: Bacteria; Pseudomonadati; Pseudomonadota; Gammaproteobacteria; Aeromonadales; Aeromonadaceae. The record is from RNAcentral.
GCNAGAGUCUUGUAGAGGGNGGUAGAAUUCCAGNUGUAGCGGUGAAAUGCGUAGAGAUCNGGAGGAAUAUCGGUGGCGAAGGCGGCCCCCNGGACAAAGACUGACGCUCAGAUGCGAAAGCGUGGGUAGCAAACANGAUUAGAUACCCUGGUAGUCCACGCNGUAAACGAUGUCUACUUGAAGGUUNGGAUCUUGAAUUCUNGCCUUCGGAGCUAACGCGUUAAGUAGACCGCCUGGGGAGUACGGUCGCAAGAUUAAAACUCAAAUGANNNNNCNGGGGCCCGCACAAGCGGUGGAGCAUGUGGUUUAAUUCGAUGCAACGCGAAGAACCUUACCUACUCUUGACAUCCAGAGAAGCCAGCAGAGAUGCAGGUGUGCCUUCGGGAACUCUGAGACAGGUGCUGCAUGGCUGUCGUCAGCUCGUGUUGUGAAAUGUUGGGUUAAGUCCCGCAACGAGCGCAACCCUUAUCCUUGUUUGCCAGCACGUAAUGGUGGGAACUCCAGGGAGACUGCCGGUGACAAACCGGAGGAAGGUGGGGACGACGUCAAGUCAUCAUGGCCCUUACGAGUAGGGCUACACACGUGCUACAAUGGUGCAUACAGAGGGAAGCAAGAGCGCGAGCUGGAGCGGAUCCCAAAAAGUGCAUCGUAGUCCGGAUUGGAGUCUGCAACUCGACUCCAUGAAGUCGGAAUCGCUAGUAAUCGUGGAUCAGAANNCCACGGUGAAUACGUUCCCGGGCCUUGUACACACCGCCCGAUCUUGCUGAAAAA